AUGGCCAUGAGAGCACACCAAACCGCAGCUCCCCUCCUCCCUCAAGCUUCCCCUCACCAUGAGAGCUUCCCUCUCACUCUCUUCUCCCCUAAUCUUUCAUGAGUCCAGCUCACUUUCUCCUUUCCCCUCUCACUAGAUUGGAUCUUAAUGCAGGUGCAUGUUGGUCCAAGCAUGGAGAAGGUUGAGCUAUCCUCAGAUCUGAAGUUCUUGAGCAAAGUUCGUCCAAAACCUUGCAGUAAUUUCUGUAUCUUGCUGUUUCAGAUUCUGGUACGAACUUGUAAAAUCCGCCAAAUCUUGUGUGCAGAUCCAAAUCGAGUGAUUCAAAGUUCCACAGAUAGAUCAAGAUCUGGUCAGAUCUGACUUUGUCGAAUUAAACCAGGAGCUUGGAAACGAAUUUUUCAAUGAAACCAACUGGGGGAUAAUUGGUUUAUACCAUGGUGAUAACCGAGAGAGGCAAUUGCUAAGUCAUGGCACUCUCAUACCUUCACUAG
This is a long non-coding RNA of Lolium perenne, 491 nucleotides long. RefSeq lists it as uncharacterized. The record is from RefSeq and is a predicted model, not a curated record. Lineage: Eukaryota; Viridiplantae; Streptophyta; Magnoliopsida; Poales; Poaceae.